CAGGGGGCGAGCCCCACCAGCCCGGGAGUUUCUAGACAGGAAUUUAGGAGCUUCACAUCAGGAAUGUCAGACCGGAUCAACCGCUGGGUCAACAAGACCAACAAUACUGGGUCUUCACUUCCUACUGACUUGAGACAUGUGGACAUCAUUAGUAAGAGGAGCCUGUUUGAGACAAGAGAGGAGAACAGUGUCCCAAAACCCAGCCCUGGAAAACUCUGCAAGUGAAGGUUGUCUAUUCAUAAUGGCUAACAAGAUUUAGUAGACGGUGAGGAGGACGCCAUGACUGACUGAUUCUUUCUUCAAGCUUUUUAUGCUUUUUUGACUUCCGUGCCAAAGCACACAGGAGGAAUAGAUAUGCCAAAUAGGGAAAAAAGUGAUUUGAGGAUACUGCUUUUAAAGUAAGGAGGCUUUAAUCAUACACUAAUGCAUUGCUUCAAGUACAAUAAAAGUCUUAUUUCAAACAUUGACAUUACAUGAACAUUAAUGUGUUGAGGAAGGGUAAAAAGCAAAGUUGACAUGAGAGGAGAAGAACUGUGAUAGAAAACAGGGAGGAAAGUGAUAUAUUUGUUUU
This is a long non-coding RNA of Perca flavescens (yellow perch), 571 nucleotides long. RefSeq lists it as uncharacterized. The record is from RefSeq and is a predicted model, not a curated record. Lineage: Eukaryota; Metazoa; Chordata; Actinopteri; Perciformes; Percidae. The transcript is spliced from 4 exons.